GACCCCAAAGUGUUAAGAGUAAAGGGGACAAUAGGGAAUCAAGAGGCUAGUGACGGCUAGUAACUGUGUGCAUUAGAGAUGUGCUUAGGUAUGUUGACCUGAGCUUGGGGACAAUAGUAGGCAGGCAGGAACAAGGAGGGGACAGACGGGCCAUCUCCGCCUCCUUCCUCCUCUGCCCUCCCCACCCCAACAGCCACUACUUGAUGUGUCAGCCAGUGGAGCAGAAACCACAGAUACUUCCUCAAAGCAGCAGCCUAAACUCAGAGCCCACUCACCCCCUGAAGCCACAUCACCCCCUGAAGCUAUGGGAAGCAAUCAGGACUUCCGAAACCUCCAAGCUAAGUUCCAGGCCUCUCAAGAGCCUGGAGAACCAUCCAGAAAACCCAUAAAGCCUGAGUUCAACAAACUCCUGAAGAAGUUUCCACAGACUGAGUUAAGUGAGCAGCCCAAGAAGGCCUCACAGUCUGAGCUCAGUACAGUGUCCUUGAAACCCCUGCAGCUGCAGUUUGCUGACAUCCCCAGGACCUCACAGUCAGUUCUCAGAACGUCACCGCAGCCUGAGUUCACUGAGCAGCCCAAGAAGCCUCUACAGUCUGAGCUCAGAGAUCUCCCAAGGAAGCCUCCACAUCCAGAGUUCACUGGUCUCAAGAAGCCCUCACAGGCUGAGUUCACAGAUUCCAAGAAGCCCCCACAGCCCCAGUUUGCCAGCCUCCCUAAGCCCUCACAGCCUGAGUUCACUAAUCUCCCCAAGAAGCUUCCCAAACUCGAGUUUGGUGAACUCACCAAGAAGUCUCCACAGCUUGAGGCAUCCCAGGAGCCUAGUAUACCUACCCAGAAGCCCCUGAAAUCUGAGCUCAGCAAUCCUGCCAGACCCCCAGUAGAGCUCAAACCUACCACAUUUCCCAAGAAGUUCUGGAAGCCCGAGUCCAGUGAGGCCCCUCUGAAGUCCUUGUCAUUUGAGUCCAGUACUUUUCCCAAGAAGCCACUGCAGCCUCAGGCUGCUGGUUCCUCUAGGACGUCCCUGACACAGGUAGAGUCCAGCGAAGUUCCUCAGACAUCCAAGCCUGGGUCCAGUGAGUUUUACCCCCACUCGCCAGAGCCUGAUGUCAGUACCUUUCCCAAGAAGUCCCUGCAGUCUGAGCUCAGUGAGAAUUUCAAGAAAUCUCCAUCUCUUCAGGCCACUGGUUACACAAAGUCUCCACAGCAGCCCAUGUCCUAUGAGGUCCCCCAGACACCCUCUUGGAAGCCUGAGUCAUGUAAUCCCCCAUCUCACUCCCUGCAGCCGGACUUCCAGGCACUGCCCAAGAAGCAUCCACAGCUCCAGCUAAGUGACCUUACCAGGACAUCCUCGGAGCCCGAAGUCUGCAAAUUUCCCAAGAAGCCUCAGCAGCCAGCCCCCAAAGUGCUUUCUAAGAAGCCCUCGCAGCGGGAACUGGGUCAUCUCCCUAGAACAUCCUCAGAGCCUGAGUUCAGUUCACUCCCCAAGAAGUUUCUGCAGCCUCAACAUGGCAAGUUCUUCCAGCCUGACUUUCCCAAGGGUCUGCCCAGAAAGCCCAAACUUCCUGGUUCAGUAUCUGAGUGCUCCCUGGCCUCUGCCUUUGAGGGUUUCAGCCCCCAGUUCCCCCUCAGCCCUGGGUAUGGAGUCUCUCGGACACCCAAUUGGAGAUCAGAAGACUUCCAAGUCCAGCACCCGCCCCAGCGAAGGCCUUUGCCUUCAGCCAGCAGCCUGGGAUCUCCUCCAGCCAAGCCCCCAUUACCACCUGUCCCCAUCAAUAUCCAAAGCUUCCGGAGAGCCUCAGCAACAGCCACAGCUGUACUGAAGACUGGCUCUUCUGGGACCCACUUCCCAGCCCAACCUCAACAGAUCCUGCAGAACCCGGACGAGAUCUAUGAGCUGUAUGAUGCUGUGGAAGCCACAAGUGACUCUAGUCUCAGCCCCAGAGGCAGAGCAUUUAGGCAGCAGGAUGAUCUGCCUUGGCUACUCAGCAACCAAGACCAGCCUGGAUGAGACCCUGCAAACAACCAAAGCAAAUGCCACCCACCAGGUUCCUUGCAGUUCAUCUCAAGAGAAUGUACCAGCAAAAUGUAUACAUGCAGCAGCAGGUUUUCCUUUAUUCUAAGUCAGUCUGAGGGGCUCCACGAUUGGUGUCUCUAUGGCAACAGCAUGGGGUUUUAUGAACGAGCUUUGAUGAUUUGUAGCCAAGGGAGUUACCCCAUUGCCAAUAAGGAUGUUCAAGGAUCUGAGACUAGGCCUAGCCAGCUAAGCGCCCCCACCCACCAGCUAUUCCAUUUUACUAGCUUACUAGGGCUCCUAGGAGGGUCUUUUGGCCUUGGGAUGCUGGAGGUCCUGAUACAAAGCCAGAUGCUUUCAAAUUCUCCAGCCCUUGCUCCUUUCUGGGUCCUUUUUGUUUGCUUCUCCUGGUUCAUCAAGAGAAUGCCCAUAGUGCUUCUGUGGAGGGGGAGCUCUAUACUUGGGGGAGGGGUCACGGUUCAAGAUCAUGAUCAAACAUCAGACCCCUGAAUUUCUCCUUUCAGUGCAAUGUGUGAGCCUCCCUGUGGCGCAGAGCCUCUCAAAGUCCGUUCUGAGUAUUUCAGAGUCAUCUUUCUAGUACCAGAGUGGCCUGGGGACCACCUAUUCUUUGGUUCCUUUGAAACAUGGCAGCCCCCCCACAUCUUUUGUCAAUUGGGAACUCACAAGGAAGGCCAGGGUUCAGCCUUUCCAGGAUUAUAUGUAGACCACCAGUGGCCUGCUCAGAACAAGCUGCAGGAUGACCCAGAACUAGAGAGCCCAGUACUGUCACAGUCAAGUUUGCUUCUAGCUGUGAGACCACUCAAGGCUGAGGCAGAUCAUGAGAAAAAGCAGGUGCAGUACAGGUUGAGUAGGACCCAGAUCUCUGCCUACAGAGUAGAAAUCAAGCUUAUCACUGACUUAGUAUGACAGUCACCCCUCUGUGGGCUAUAAUCAGAAAGGAUAGUUGGUCCAAAGUGACAUUUGGGUCAUCAACAAAAUGGGACCUCUGAUUCAGAUCCUCACUAACCCCGAUCUUGAAGAGGCUGUCACCCAAGCCUCCAGCCAACAGUUGGUCUUAUUCUGGAAGCCUGUCCUACUGCUGGGAAGUGAUACAAGUCAACCCUCUGGGAAACCCUACCAUUCAGUCUCAGCGGCAGAAGGUUCAGGCUAAGAACUCCACCCCAGGGACGUGGUGGUGGUGUGUGCCUUUCCCGGCAUUUGGGAGGCAAAGGCAGGUGGACCUGAGUUCAAGGCCAGCCUGGUCUACAGAGUGGAUUCCAGAACAGUCAAGUCUACACAGAGAAACCCUGUCUUCAAAAGACCAACCAACCAACCAAAAAACUCCACCCUGGUUGCUCCUCCUUAGAGGCAAGCUAUGGAUGGCUACAAUGUAAUUAUUUGUUUUUAGUUCUGAAUCCAAAAUUUUAUCACAACUCCCAACAUAUUCUGGGAGGUAGAAGAAAAAUGGCUCCCAAAGUCUACGACUUAUGGGCUGAUCAUGGUGGCCACAGCUUUUGAUACUAGCACUCAGGGAGACAGAGGCAGAUAGAUCUAGGACAGCCUAGUCUAUAUAGUUCGAGAACAAAAACCAAACACAAAGGCCUACAAAUCCAUCCCAUCUCUACAAUUUUAGACAGUUAGCCAACUUCUCAGUCUUUAUUUUCCUCACCAAAACAAACCUUACCCACAAGGACUGAUGAACCCUGAGAAAAGUACACAAGAAGAGUGGUCAAUUCAGGGAAGCCCUGAGGAUCCAGAGAGCAAACUCAACCCAUCAAGUCACUAGGGUAGAUAAAGAGCUAGGGACCUUUGUCCUGACUCUGUCCAAUGCCCUCAGAUGAAGUGCAGUCUACCCAGCAAGCCACCAGAUGGCCUCAGCAGGACGCUGAGCUCAGGAAGAAUGCUACUCAGCUACAGCAGCUGCCAUCCACAGACCCCAAGCUGCUGAAACAGAUCAGGAAG
Non-coding RNA from Myodes glareolus (Bank vole), 3973 nucleotides. The record is from RefSeq and is a predicted model, not a curated record. NCBI's taxonomy places the organism in Eukaryota, Metazoa, Chordata, Mammalia, Rodentia, Cricetidae.